ACAAUUUAGAGUUUGAUCCUAGCUCAGGAUGAACGCUGGCGGCGUGCCUUAGGCAUGCAAGUCAAACGGCCCUUCCCCAGAUUCGCAAGAAUCUGAGGAUGGACAGUGGCAGACGAGUUAGUAACACGUAGGAACCUACUCUCAAGUCAGGAAUAACUCACCGAAAGGUGAAUUAAUACUCGAUAGUAUCUUUAUCCCGCUUAUGUGGUGUAGAGAUUAAACCCCUCCCCACUUUUGGAUUUUAGAAAUUUCUAGAGCUCAAAAGUGGGGAGGGGGCUUGAGAAAGGGCCUGCGGGCUAUCAGCUAGUUGGUGGGGUAAUGGCCUACCAAGGCAGUGACGGCUAGGGGAAGUGAGAGCUUGAUCCCCAACGAUGGGACUGAGACACGGCCCAUACACCUACGGGUGGCUGCAGUCGAGAAUCUUCCGCAAUGGACGAAAGUCUGACGGAGCGACGCCGCGUGAUGGAUGAAGUCCUUAGGGACGUAAACAUCUUUUAUGGAGGAGAAAUUCCUCCCCACUUUUGGAUUUUAGAAAUUUCUAGAGCUCAAAAGUGGGGAGAAAUGAUAGUACUUCAUGAAUAAGGGGUUGCUAAACUCGUGCCAGCAGCAGCGGUAAUACGAGUACCCCAAGCGUUAUCCGGAAUUAUUGGGCGUAAAGGGUGUGUAGGCGGUCUGAUUAGUCUUCUGUUAAAUCCUCGGGCUUAACCCGAGACGAGCAGAGGAAACGGUCAGACUGGAGGGUGCGAGAGGUGAAUGGAACUCAUGGAGUAGGGGUGAAAUCCGUUGAUAUCAUGGGGAACACCAAAAGCGAAGGCAAUUCACUGGCGUACUUCUGACGCUGAAACACGAAAGCGUGGGUAGCGAACGGGAUUAGAUACCCCGGUAGUCCACGCCCUAAACGAUGAUCACUAGCUUUGGGGAGUAUCGACCCUCUCCGAGGCGAAGCUAACGCGUUAAGUGAUCCGCCUGGGUAGUACGGCCGCAAGGCUAAAACUCAAAGGAAUAGACGGGGACUUGCACAAGCAGUGGAUUAUGCGGUUUAAUUCGAUGACAAACGAAGAACCUUACCAAGGUUAGAAAUCCCGAUGACGGUUUCUGGAAACAGAUUCCUUCCGCAAGGACAUCGGGACAGGUGAUGCAUGGCCGUCGUCAGUUCGUGAUUUGAAUUGUUCCCUUAAGUGGGGUAACGAACGCAACCCUCGUUGCCAGUUAUAAAUGUCUGGCGAGACUGCCCCCUCUCCAGUUUUGUUUUUUGCCAAGAAUUUUCGAGUCUAAAAAAUUUGAAGAAAUUUUUUAAAUCUGAAAAUUCUAAGACAAUAAAAGAAAACUGGAGAGGGGGAGGAAGGCGAGGAUGACGCCAGGUCAGCAUGUCCCUUGAUACCUUGGGCUACACGCAUAAUACAAUCGCCGCUACAACGGGUCGCGACGGAGUAAUCCCGAGCUAAUCCUAAGAAAAGCGGCGUCAGUUCGGAUUGGGGGCUGCAACUCGACCCCAUGAAGUUGGAAUUGCUAGUAAUCGCGGGUCAGCUAUACCGCGGUGAAUACGUUCUCAAGUCUUGUACUCAAAAUUAAAUGCGCU
This is a non-coding RNA of Entomoplasmatales bacterium EntAcro10, 1579 nucleotides long. Lineage: Bacteria; Bacillati; Mycoplasmatota; Mollicutes; Entomoplasmatales. The record is from Rfam.